Molecule: transfer RNA, 87 nt
Filed under: Fidelibacterota bacterium
Lineage: Bacteria; Pseudomonadati; Fidelibacterota
Description: tRNA-Ser
Rfam family: tRNA
About the family: Transfer RNA (tRNA) molecules are approximately 80 nucleotides in length.
Source: RNAcentral
GGAGAGUUGGCAGAGUGGUAAUGCAGCGGAUUGCUAAUCCGUCAACACCUUUAAAGUGUUGCAUGAGUUCAAAUCUCAUACUCUCCG